CAUGCCAAUGGCAUUGCCCGGUAGCUAAGUGCGGAAAAGAUAAGCGCUGAAAGCAUCUAAGCGCGAAACUUGCCUCAAGAUGAGUCUUCCCUGGGCCUUUAAGGUCCCUGAAGGAACGUUUAAGACUAAGACGUUGAUAGGCUGGGUGUGUAAGUGCAGCGAUGCAUUGAGCUAACCAGUACUAAUGAUCCGUGAGGCUUAACCUUACAACACCGAAGGUGUUU
This 224-nucleotide ribosomal RNA is filed under the name Vibrio cholerae. RNAcentral describes it as "partial 23S ribosomal RNA". It matches the Rfam family "Bacterial large subunit ribosomal RNA", at positions 2725 to 2925 of the family's 2925-position model. Lineage: Bacteria; Pseudomonadati; Pseudomonadota; Gammaproteobacteria; Vibrionales; Vibrionaceae. The record is from RNAcentral.